UCUUUGUUGGCUGUGGGAUCUUCUGGAAACAAAGCACAGAGCAAGGCUGAAGGAGCAAGACCUCCACAGUGCAGCUAAACAGCCAAAUGAGUCUCCCGCAAGUCAGGAAAACUGGAUAAAAAGAGGCCUAAAUGUGAGCAAGAGCUAUCAUGUUUGGCUUCAAGUAUGUAAGUCCAAUCUGGUAACAGACCCUUUCCCAUUCAUUGUUAGCAUAUUCACUGGGAAGCAGCAUGGGCCAGGAACUAAGGGCAACAAUGAGCUGUGUGACCUUAGGCAAAUUACUUAACUUCUCUGUGCUUCAUUGUUCUAGUUAUAAAAUGAAAUAAAUUAAAUGAAAACUAUAUAAUGAAUUAUAUAAUAUAAUGAGGUAUAUAAUAUACAAUGAAAACUAUAUAAAUGAAAAAUAUAUAGUACAAAUAUAUAAUAUAUAAUGAAACAUAUAUAAUGAAAAUAUAUACACGAAAAAUAUAAUAUAAAUGAAAAAGUAUUCAUUAAAAGAAAAUAAAUUAUGGCCCAAAUGUUUUUGAAAAACUAUACCUUAAAAACCCCUAUUUUGUUUAGAAUGUACAUUCCUGGUUCAAAAUGGUCGCGUGAGAAACCUAAGAAACAGGCUGCUUUCAAGCAUUUAUUUCAUACUUCAGAACUCAAACAUAUUUAUAAUCCAACCCUCUUAUACAGUCACUUAUCCAUGUCCUCAUGUUUACAAAAUAUAGCUAUUCAGAGGCACUUUGUGUUUUCAAAGUUUCAACCUCUGACUAUAUAUCUUUCAUUUGAAAAUUAAGGUAGAUUUAAAAAUUCAACUUAGUUUACAAUUCUGUCCUUUGCAUUUAAGACCUAAAACAGGGUUGUGGCCAUUAAACUGGUUCUUUCAACACAGCUAUGUUAACUACAUUAAAAGAGCCAUGUCAGCAAGUGGCAGUGUUAAUUACCAGCUUGCCCAGCCACCACUGCUUUGCUCGACAGUUUUACUAUGUUUAAAAAUAAAAGGUUCAGAUGUGGUGUGACAAAGCUCUCCUGACAAAAAGGAAGCAAAUACGGAGGCAAGAGAGGGGCCAGUUGGGUCAUGCCACAGUCUUCUGUGGGAUUUUGUCAAUAUAUUAGCAGGAAAGGAGCAGGAGCUGGUAGGGGCAACUGGGAUGGAUAGAGGAGCUGCUGAAGACUCUCUGGGAUGACAGGAAAUAGUACAAAUUCCAGACCUUCUUUCACCUCCUAUUUGUGUAUUUCAACCUACAGAAUCAACUACCCAGAUAACUACAGAAAUUCACACAUGAUAAAAAUGCAAUAUAAAAUCUCUACUUACACUAAAGAACUUACUCAUGUAACCAAAUACCACCUGUACCCCAAUAACUUAUGGAAAAAAAAAACUCUACUUAAGCAUAAUAGACUAUAAAACAAGUCGUUUAGCCAUUUCCUUUUUGAGGAAAUAAAGCCUUAAGCUCUGUCAAGGUAGAGUCUGAACUGCACUGCUCAUGUCGGCUCAAUGACCAUUGGUUGAAAUAAUUAGCUAAUUUGGUGAAUUUUCUAAUUAUGCUCUUCUAGGAGUGGAACUGCUAGAAUUAGCAUGUCUCUAAAAGUCAGGCCACCACUUAAUUGUGGCACUGUAUUGCUUUUAAGAUUGCGUGAAUUUUAAAAAUGAAUAAAAGCAAUAGCUGUGUCCCAGACUCUCUCGCUUUCACUUUCAAAUAUUAUAACUUCAGAGAAUUCCACCCUGGCUAGAACUGAAACAGAAACUACAUAAUGCCAUUUAAAAAAAAAUGAUUGUAUUUGUACAUAUUUCUUAAACCAGAUUUCAUAGAGUAAGAGAAAGAACUAAAGAAAGACUGAAGUUCAUAUCAGGAGUGUCAGUCUUGGAUGAUCUGAAAACUUUUAAUUAUCUUCUUUUUUAUCAUUUCUCUCACUCCCCCUAAACCAUCCCUUCCUUCCUUCCCACUUUAUUGGAGACGCAGGAUCAAAUAUAAAGUCCUUGCUCCUGUGGAGCAUACAUUCGAGUGGUAAGAGAAAGACAAUAAAGAUGCAAACAAAUAGUUAAAUAAUACAAUUUGAAUUAGUGAUACGUGGAAAAUAAAAUGAACACUGGGACAGAGAGUGACUAGGUGGUGGGAGUCGGGAAGUGGGAAGCAUCUUUGAUUACAGAGGUCAAGGAAGACUUCUCUGAGGAGGUGACAUCUGAUUAACAUCUGAAUAAAGAGAAGGAGUCAGUCACGUAAGGAUCUGGGGAAAAGAACAUUGCAGAUAGUGGGAACUUAUACAAGAAAUUGGCAAGCUCUGAUUUCUCUUCUUCAAAUUUUAUCGUCCUGAUUAAAUUCUCUUCCCCUGCAAACCCAGCCCCAGGUUUCUUGUAACACAGCAUGUAACAGUCUUCCCUCAGCCCCAGUGCCUAGCAUAAAUGCUAGCACAGAGUGGGGGUUAAUAAAGAGCAAUGGUUAUGUA
RNAcentral lists this long non-coding RNA (2430 nucleotides) under Homo sapiens (human). RNAcentral's name for it is "HSALNT0352918". The record is from RNAcentral. Lineage: Eukaryota; Metazoa; Chordata; Mammalia; Primates; Hominidae.